GACGAACGCUGGCGGCGUGCUUAACACAUGCAAGUCGAACGGACAGGCCUCUUUCGUGGUUUACUCGAGUGGCGAACGGGUGAGUAACACGUGCGUAACCUGCCCUUGUCUUUGGGUUAACUUCAUUCAACUGGGGCUAAUACCUGCUAGAUGCUCCUUCUGCAUGGUUGGUGCUGGAGAGUUUCGGCGGUUGGGUGUGGCUUCGCGGAUUAUCCGCUUGUUGGUGGGGUAGUGGCUUACCAAGGCGUUGCCGGGUAGCCGGCCUGAGAGAGUGAGCGGCCACAUUGGGACUGAGAGACGGCCCAGACUCCUACGGGAGGCAGAAGGGGGGAAUAUUGCACAAGGGGUGGAAGCCUGAUGCAGCAGCGCCGUGGGCGGGAUGACGGCCUUCGGGGGGAAGACCGCAUGCGUUCAUGACGAAGCUUUGUGUGACGGUAGUGGGUAAAGAAGCAACGGCUAACUACGUG
Molecule: ribosomal RNA, 467 nt
Filed under: uncultured bacterium
Lineage: Bacteria
Description: partial 16S ribosomal RNA
Rfam family: Bacterial small subunit ribosomal RNA
Source: RNAcentral